GACGAACGCUGGCGGCGUGCUUAACACAUGCAAGUCGAGCGGUAAGGCCCUUUCGGGGGUACACGAGCGGCGAACGGGUGAGUAACACGUGGGUGACCUGCCCUCAGCUCUGGGAUAAGCCUGGGAAACUGGGUCUAAUACCGGAUAUGACUCCAUGACGCAUGUUGUGGGGUGGAAAGCCUUGUGCGGCUGAGGAUGGGCCCGCGGCCUAUCAGCUUGUUGGUGGGGUGAUGGCCUACCAAGGCGACGACGGGUAGCCGGCCUGAGAGGACGAUCAGCCACACUGGCACUGCGACACGGGCCAGACUCCUACGGGAGGCAGCAGUAAGGAAUAUUGCGCAAUGGGCGAAAGCCUGACGCAGCGACGCCGCGUGGGGAUGAAGGUCUUCGGAUUGUAAACCCCUUUCGGGAGGGAAGAUGGAAUGGGGUAACCCAUUCGGACGGUACCUCCAGAAGCAGCCACGGCUAACUUCGUGCCAGCCGCCGCGGUAAC
This 493-nucleotide ribosomal RNA is filed under the name uncultured bacterium. RNAcentral's name for it is "bacterial SSU rRNA". It matches the Rfam family "Bacterial small subunit ribosomal RNA", at positions 28 to 524 of the family's 1533-position model. The record is from RNAcentral.